This is a long non-coding RNA of Pongo pygmaeus (Bornean orangutan), 280 nucleotides long. RefSeq lists it as uncharacterized. The transcript has 4 exons. Lineage: Eukaryota; Metazoa; Chordata; Mammalia; Primates; Hominidae. The record is from RefSeq and is a predicted model, not a curated record.
CCCUGAUAGUCCUUUGCACAGUGAUCUUCAGAUCUUAAAAGAAAAAGAAGACAUGGAGAUAUUUUGCUUCACUUAUCUUUUAAGAAACUGUUGUGGUUGUCAACUGGGUUGUCUUCCUGAAGUAUGAAUCUGGUAUGUAUUGGGUGGAGGAGCAUUAUGUAUUGAACUUCUGAUGAAACAGGGCUGAAGCAGUGCCUACUCGACAGAACCAGUCAUCGUACAAAGAAAUGCCACCUGACUCAAAGGCAAAGCCAGAGUGCAGCUUGGAGCAAAGAAGGUA